Molecule: ribosomal RNA, 1366 nt
Filed under: Cifuna locuples
Lineage: Eukaryota; Metazoa; Arthropoda; Insecta; Lepidoptera; Erebidae
Description: 16S ribosomal RNA
Source: RNAcentral
GGGGUAAAAUUAAUAUUAAGAGGAGUAAUAAAAGAAUUUUUAAAUGUUGAAAAUUAUUAUUUUAAUGGGGGUUAAAGUAGUUUUAUUGAAAAAAUUUAAAAAUUUAUAGUUAAUUAGUAUUGUGAAAGAAUUUUGAAAUAUUAUUUAAAAAUUAAAUUUGAGGGAAAGUAAUUUUUAUUUAGUGUAUCUUGUGUAUCAGAGUUUAUUAAUAAAUUAUUUUAUUUUAAAUGUUCUCGAAUUUAAAAGAGAUAAUUAAUUAUUAAAGUUAUUGUAGCAAAAAUAUUUUUAAUAGUUAAUUAGAGAUGAAAUGUUAAUCGUUUUUAAAUAUAUCUAGUUUUUUUAGAAAAAAAUUUAAUUUUAAAUUUAAAAUUAAUAAAUUAAAUAAUUAGUUAUUUGAUUUAAAUUUAAAUUUAAUAUUUUAAGGGAUAAGCUUUAAAUUAAAUUAAUAUAAUUAAUUAAAUGUAUUUUAUUGAAAAUAAUAUAAUUUAUAUUAUUAAUAAAUUUUAAUUUGUUAUAAAUAAUUUCAAUAAAAAUAAAAUUUAAUUUAAUUUAUAAUUUAUAUAAAAAAUUAAAUUUAAAUAUAAAAAAUUUAGUUAUAAUGAUAAAAUUAGUAUAUAAAAAAUUUUAUAUUAUAAAUUUUAUUUAAAUUGUUUUAAAGGAAUUCGGCAAAAUUUUAUAUUCACUUGUUUAUCAAAAACAUGUCUUUUAGAUAAUAAUUUAAAGUCUAAUCUGCCCACUGAUAAUUUAUUAAAGGGCUGCAGUAAUUUGACUGUACAAAGGUAGCAUAAUCAUUAGUCAUUUAAUUGAUGACUUGUAUGAAAGAUUGGAUGAAAUAUAUACUGUCUUUAAUAUAUUUUAUAGAAAUUAAUUUUUUAAUAAAAAAGUUAAAAUGAAUAAAAAAGACGAGAAGACCCUAUAGAGUUUUAUUUUUCAAUAAAUAAAAAUUAUUUUUAAAUUUAAAAUUUAUAUUUAUUUAAAAAUUUUGUUGGGGUGAUAGAAAAAUUAAAUAAACUUUUUAAUAAGUGAAACAUAAAUAAGUGAUUUAUUGAUCCAUUUUUAGUGAUUAAAAGAAAAAAUUACCUUAGGGAUAACAGCGUAAUUUUUUUUUUUAGUUCGAAUAAAAAAAAGAGUUUGCGACCUCGAUGUUGGAUUAAGAUAAAAUUUAAAUGUAGAAGUUUAAAGUUUUGAUCUGUUCGAUCAUUAAAAUCUUACAUGAUCUGAGUUCAAACCGGUGUGAGCCAGGUUGGUUUCUAUCUUUUUAAAUUAGAAAUAUUUUAGUACGAAAGGAUUGAAUAUUUAAAUUAAAUUUAUUUAAUGAAUAUUAAUAAUUAUAUUUUAAAAAUGAAAUUUAUUUGGAUUAUAUAUA